CUUUGGCAUUGGCAGCGGUCCAAGUUCCUUGGAACAGGACGUCACAGAGGGUGAGAAUCCCGUACGUGGUCGCUAGCCUUUACCGUGUAAAGCCCCUUCGACGAGUCGAGUUGUUUGGGAAUGCAGCUCUAAAUGGGAGGUAAAUUUCUUCUAAAGCUAAAUACUGGCCAGAGACCGAUAGCGCACAAGUAGAGUGAUCGAAAGAUGAAAAGCACUUUGGAAAGAGAGUUAAAAAGCACGUGAAAUUGUUGAAAGGGAAGCGCUUGCAGCCAGACUUGCCUGUAGUUGCUCAUCUAGGUUUCUACCUAGUGCACUCUUCUAUAGGCAGGCCAGCAUCAGUUUGGGCGGUUGGAUAAAGGUCUCUGUCAUGUACCUCUCUUUGGGGAGAACUUAUAGGGGAGACGACAUGCAACCAGCCUGGACUGAGGUCCGCGCAUCUGCUAGGAUGCUGGCGUAAUGGCUGUAAGCGGCCCGUCUUGAAACACGGACCAAGGAGUCUAACAUCUAUGCGAGUGUUUGGGUGUCAAGCCCGAGCGCGUAAUGAAAGUGAACGGAGGUGGGAACCUUUCGGGGUGCACCAUCGACCGAUCCUGAUGUCUUCGGAUGGAUUUGAGUAAGAGCAUAGCUGUUGGGACCCGAAAGAUGGUGAACUAUGCUUGAAUAGGGUGAAGCCAGAGGAAACUCUGGUGGAGGCUCGCAGCGGUUCUGACGUGCAAAUCGAUCGUCAAAUUUGGGCAUAGGGGCGAAAGACUAAUCGAACUAUCUAGUAGCUGGUUCCUGCCGAAGUUUCCCUCAGGAUAGCAGUAACGUUUUCAGUUUUAUGAGGUAAAGCGAAUGAUUAGAGGCCUGGGGGUUGAAACAACCUUCACCUAUUCUCAAACUUUAAAUAUGU
This 892-nucleotide ribosomal RNA is filed under the name Didymella cari. Its description in RNAcentral is "eukaryotic LSU rRNA". It matches the Rfam family "Eukaryotic large subunit ribosomal RNA", at positions 162 to 1074 of the family's 3401-position model. The record is from RNAcentral. Lineage: Eukaryota; Fungi; Ascomycota; Dothideomycetes; Pleosporales; Didymellaceae.